Molecule: ribosomal RNA, 406 nt
Filed under: uncultured bacterium
Lineage: Bacteria
Description: bacterial SSU rRNA
Rfam family: Bacterial small subunit ribosomal RNA
Source: RNAcentral
GUGGGGAAUAUUGGACAAUGGGCGAAAGCCUGAUCCAGCAAUGCCGCGUGAGUGAUGAAGGCCUUAGGGUUGUAAAGCUCUUUUACCCGGGAUGAUAAUGACAGUACCGGGAGAAUAAGCUCCGGCUAACUCCGUGCCAGCAGCCGCGGUAAUACGGAGGGAGCUAGCGUUGUUCGGAAUUACUGGGCGUAAAGCGUACGUAGGCGGCUUUGUAAGUAAGAGGUGAAAGCCUGGAGCUCAACUCCAGAACUGCCUUUUAGACUGCAUCGCUUGAAUCCUGGAGAGGUGAGUGGAAUUCCGAGUGUAGAGGUGAAAUUCGUAGAUAUUCGGAAGAACACCAGUGGCGAAGGCGGCUCACUGGACAGGUAUUGACGCUGAGGUACGAAAGCGUGGGGAGCAAACAGGA